RNAcentral lists this ribosomal RNA (783 nucleotides) under Triticum aestivum (bread wheat). RNAcentral describes it as "partial small subunit ribosomal RNA". Lineage: Eukaryota; Viridiplantae; Streptophyta; Magnoliopsida; Poales; Poaceae. The record is from RNAcentral.
AUGCAAGCUUUUCAAUCUGCCAUUCAUGACUGUGAGCUAAGGGACAUGGGUUUCCUGGGGGACCAGUUCACGUGGCAGCGAGGUCGCAUUAGAGAGCGGCUGGACCGUGGCCUGAUUAAUGACUCUUGGGGUGCCCUAUACCCCCAUGCAGCUUUACAGAAUCUAAGUUACAACCAUUCUGAUCAUAGACCCUUGCUUGUGGACACGGAAUAUUACUUACCUAGCACUGGAAGUGACAACCAGGUGAAGCGCUUUGAGGCUAGAUGGUUGAGAGAAAAUAGCUUUGCUGAUCUAGUCCAGGAAACAUGGCAGAGGGUUGAAACCAAUCCGAACCUCACUUCGGUACAGGCCAAACUGGACCGUAUGCAUGGGAUGUUCCAUGAUUGGGAUCAGAGAGUGCUCAAGAAGCCAAAGAAGAGACUUCGGCAGACACAAAGGGAGUUGGAAAAAUUAAUGACCGGCCCUAUGAAUGAUGAGACAGAGGAGAAGAGAAAAGAGCUUUCUGAAUUGAUUGAGUUUUUGCUAGAACUCGAGGAAAUACAUUAUAUGCAAAGAUCGAGAUCCAACUGGCUCCAGUUCGGUGAUCGCAAUACGGGUUUUUUUCAGGCAUAUGCUACGGCAAGACGGAAGAAAUUUUUUAUUAAAAAAUUAAAUGACGGACAGGGAAAUAUAUUGGAAGGUACGACUCUUCUUAGUCCACAUAUACGAAGCUACUUUAAUAACUUGUUCAGCUCAGAAGACAGGUUGAUCCGGCGAUACUACAAAAGGUCCAGUCCAAAGUGA